UGGGGAAUAUUGCACAAUGGGCGCAAGCCUGAUGCAGCCAUGCCGCGUGUGUGAAGAAGGCCUUCGGGUUGUAAAGCACUUUCAGCGAGGAGGAAGGUGGUGAGCUUAAUACGCUCAUCAAUUGACGUUACUCGCAGAAGAAGCACCGGCUAACUCCGUGCCAGCAGCCGCGGUAAUACGGAGGGUGCAAGCGUUAAUCGGAAUUACUGGGCGUAAAGCGCACGCAGGCGGUUUGUUAAGUCAGAUGUGAAAUCCCCGGGCUCAACCUGGGAACUGCAUUUGAAACUGGCAAGCUAGAGUCUCGUAGAGGGGGGUAGAAUUCCAGGUGUAGCGGUGAAAUGCGUAGAGAUCUGGAGGAAUACCGGUGGCGAAGGCGGCCCCCUGGACGAAGACUGACGCUCAGGUGCGAAAGCGUGGGGCAGCAAACAGGAUUAGAUACCCUGGUAGUCCACGCUGUAAAACGAUGUCGAUUUUGGAGGUUGUGCCCUUGAGGCGUGGCUUCCGGAGCUAACGCGUUAAAUCGACCGCCUGGGGAGUACGGCCGCAAGGUUAAAACUC
Molecule: ribosomal RNA, 558 nt
Filed under: uncultured bacterium
Lineage: Bacteria
Description: partial 16S ribosomal RNA
Rfam family: Bacterial small subunit ribosomal RNA
Source: RNAcentral